AUCGAAGAGGCGCGACCAACAUUAGUAAGUAAUUUUAGCCUGCCGAGCAAUGAGAAUUAUUGAAAGGGGCGGCCGCCGAAGUACUUAAUCUGGCACGGUUAGGGGACUGGGGCGUGACUGAACAAGCCACGGACUGUCGUGGGACAAUAUUCAGCCCACGUUGCGCUAUC
RNAcentral lists this non-coding RNA (170 nucleotides) under uncultured Limosilactobacillus sp. RNAcentral's name for it is "Lysine riboswitch". It matches the Rfam family "Lysine riboswitch aptamer". Rfam says of the family: Riboswitches are metabolite binding domains within certain messenger RNAs that serve as precision sensors for their corresponding targets. Allosteric rearrangement of mRNA structure is mediated by ligand binding, and this results in modulation of gene expression. This family includes riboswitches that sense lysine in a number of genes involved in lysine metabolism, including lysC. Lineage: Bacteria; Bacillati; Bacillota; Bacilli; Lactobacillales; Lactobacillaceae. The record is from RNAcentral.